UACAGAGGGUGCGAGCGUUGUCCGGAAUCACUGGGCGUAAAGGGCGCGUAGGCGGCGCGGUAAGCGUGCGGUGAAAGCCCGGGGCUCAACCCCGGGUCGGCCGUGCGGACUGCCGGGCUCGAGCACUGUAGAGGCAGGUGGAAUUCCGGGUGUAGCGGUGGAAUGCGUAGAGAUCCGGAAGAACACCGGUGGCGAAGGCGGCCUGCUGGGCAGUAGCUGACGCUGAAGCGCGACAGCGUGGGGAGCAAACAGG
This 253-nucleotide ribosomal RNA is filed under the name uncultured bacterium. RNAcentral describes it as "partial 16S ribosomal RNA". It matches the Rfam family "Bacterial small subunit ribosomal RNA", at positions 524 to 776 of the family's 1533-position model. The record is from RNAcentral.